RNAcentral lists this ribosomal RNA (537 nucleotides) under uncultured bacterium. RNAcentral describes it as "bacterial SSU rRNA". It matches the Rfam family "Bacterial small subunit ribosomal RNA", at positions 102 to 674 of the family's 1533-position model. The record is from RNAcentral.
ACGGGUGAGUAACGCGUGGGAACAUACCCUUUUCUACGGAAUAGCUCUGGGAAACUGGAAUUAAUACCGUAUACGCCCUACGGGGGAAAGAUUUAUCGGGGAAGGAUUGGCCCGCGUUGGAUUAGCUAGUUGGUGGGGUAAAGGCCUACCAAGGCGACGAUCCAUAGCUGGUCUGAGAGGAUGAUCAGCCACAUUGGGACUGAGACACGGCCCAAACUCCUACGGGAGGCAGCAGUGGGGAAUAUUGGACAAUGGGCGCAAGCCUGAUCCAGCCAUGCCGCGUGAGUGAUGAAGGCCUUAGGGUUGUAAAGCUCUUUCACCGAUGAAGAUAAUGACGGUAGUCGGAGAAGAAGCCCCGGCUAACUUCGUGCCAGCAGCCGCGGUAAUACGAAGGGGGCUAGCGUUGUUCGGAAUUACUGGGCGUAAAGCGCACGUAGGCGGAUAUUUAAGUCAGGGGUGAAAUCCCAGAGCUCAACUCUGGAACUGCCUUUGAUACUGGGUAUCUUGAGUAUGGAAGGGGUAAGUGGAAUUGCGAGU